GACGAACGCUGGCGGCGUGCUUAACACAUGCAAGUCGAACGGAAAGGCCCUGCUUUUGUGGGGUGCUCGAGUGGCGAACGGGUGAGUAACACGUGAGUAACCUGCCCUUGACUUUGGGAUAACUUCAGGAAACUGGGGCUAAUACCGGAUAGGAGCUCCUGCUGCAUGGUGGGGGUUGGAAAGUUUCGGCGGUUGGGGAUGGACUCGCGGCUUAUCAGCUUGUUGGUGGGGUAGUGGCUUACCAAGGCUUUGACGGGUAGCCGGCCUGAGAGGGUGACCGGCCACAUUGGGACUGAGAUACGGCCCAGACUCCUACGGGAGGCAGCAGUGGGGAAUAUUGCACAAGGGGCGGAAGCCUGAUGCAGCAACGCCGCGUGCGGGAUGACGGCCUUCGGUUUGUAAACCGCUUUCGCCUGUGACGAAGCGUGAGUGACGGUAAUGGGUAAAGAAGCACCGGCUAACUACGUG
RNAcentral lists this ribosomal RNA (468 nucleotides) under uncultured bacterium. RNAcentral describes it as "partial 16S ribosomal RNA". It matches the Rfam family "Bacterial small subunit ribosomal RNA", at positions 28 to 507 of the family's 1533-position model. The record is from RNAcentral.